RNAcentral lists this ribosomal RNA (130 nucleotides) under Trigonotis radicans. RNAcentral's name for it is "5.8S ribosomal RNA". The stretch from base 1 to 89 matches the Rfam family "5.8S ribosomal RNA", at positions 68 to 154 of the family's 154-position model. From Rfam's summary of the family: 5.8S ribosomal RNA (5.8S rRNA) is a component of the large subunit of the eukaryotic ribosome. It is transcribed by RNA polymerase I as part of the 45S precursor that also contains 18S and 28S rRNA. Lineage: Eukaryota; Viridiplantae; Streptophyta; Magnoliopsida; Boraginales; Boraginaceae. The record is from RNAcentral.
UGAAUUGCAGAAUCCCGUGAACCAUCGAGUCUUUGAACGCAAGUUGCGCCUGAAGCCAUUAGGCCAAGGGCACGUCUGCCUGGGCGUCACGCAUCGCGUCACCCCUCCUCCAAAUUUGGUGGAUGGGGUG